Long non-coding RNA from Equus caballus (horse), 661 nucleotides. RefSeq lists it as uncharacterized. The record is from RefSeq and is a predicted model, not a curated record. Lineage: Eukaryota; Metazoa; Chordata; Mammalia; Perissodactyla; Equidae.
AAGAAUGCUAUUGAAAAAAAACUGUGCUCGGACAAUUUUUCUUUUGCUUCUUACUACGAAAGAUGGCUGAAAGGAUGUAUACUUCAAAGAGCUCUUUAUAAUCCUGGUGAAAAGAGAAGGUAAUCAGACUAAAUAUAUGCCUAUUUAAACAAAAUGUAUGUCUAUUGUAAAAAUAUACAUCUAUUGUAAACAAAAAGCACAUGGCUGACUAAAGGCUCUCUUCUCUAGGUGUUUACCUAAAGGAACAACAUCUCAGAUCUCACCAGUCAGACAGGACUUGAUGCUUGCAGGCCCCCUCCAGAAUGUGUUCCACUCACCUUUCUGCCUUCCUGUCUCUCCCUCUCUUCCAGCGUAUCACUCUGUUGGAAAUAUGUAAAAUACUGAUGGUGGAAAAGAUGAAUUUACCUGUCAGGAGCUUCAGAAUUUACAAAAGCAUGGCUACCUGAUGUUGGAUCUAAAUGGAAACUUCUACAUAUAUAGUUUUCCCAGCAGGCCUUUUUGAACCAUUCCCUCUGUUUUGUACGAAAUAAAAUUUAUUCAUUGUUUCUGCAAUUAUAGAGCCCCUGCUUUGUUCAGCUCAUGGUAGGCCCUGGUGAUUAUGACAGACAAGAGUACAAAAUCUCACUGGUCUCAUAUUCUAACGAGAAAGACACAGGUAUGC